GGUCGGACGGUCAAAGGACGGGGCUCCUUCGGGACCUGUCGCCCUGGGAGGGAUUCAUGUCCUAUUAGCUUGUUGGUGGGGUGACGGCCUACCAAGGCUUCGAUGGGUAGCCGGUCUGAGAGGACGGUCGGCCACACUGGGACUGAGACACUGCCCAGACUCCUACGGGAGGCUGCAGUCGAGAAUAGUUCAUAAUGCGCGAAAGCGUGAUGACGCGACGCCGCGUGGAGGAUGAAGGCCUUCGGGUCGUAAACUUCUGUGAGGGGCUAUGAACCUCGCGGACCCUAACAUGGUCCGCGACUGACCUCAACCCCACAGCAAGCUCCGGCUAACUUCGUGCCAGCAGCCGCGGUAAUACGAAGGGAGCAAGCGUUGUUCGGAAUUACUGGGCAUAAAGGGUGCGUAGGCGGACAGGUGUGUCGGGCGUGAAAGCCCACGGCUCAACCGUGGAACUGCGCUCGAAACUGCCUGUCUUGAGUGGAGGAGAGGAGAGUGGAACUCCAGGUGGAGCGGUGAAAUGCGUUGAUAUCUGGGGGAACGCCAGUGGCGAAAGCGGCUCUCUGGUCUCUUACUGACGCUAAGGCACGAAAGCCAGGGUAGCGAACGGGAUUAGAUACCCCGGUAGUCCUGGCCGUAAACGAUGGGCACUAAGUGGAGGGAG
Molecule: ribosomal RNA, 661 nt
Filed under: uncultured bacterium
Lineage: Bacteria
Description: bacterial SSU rRNA
Rfam family: Bacterial small subunit ribosomal RNA
Source: RNAcentral